GACGAACCGUGCGAACGUUGUUCGGAAUCACUGGGCUUAAAGGGCGCGUAGGCGGACUGCCAAGUCCGGGGUGAAAUCCUCCGGCUUAACCGGAGAAUUGCCUGGGAUACUGGCGGUCUUGAGGGAGGUAGGGGCACGCGGAACUUCCGGUGGAGCGGUGAAAUGCGUUGAUAUCGGAAGGAACGCCGGUGGCGAAAGCGGCGUGCUGGCCCUCUUCUGACGCUGAGGCGCGAAAGCCAGGGGAGCGAACGGGG
RNAcentral lists this ribosomal RNA (254 nucleotides) under uncultured bacterium. RNAcentral's name for it is "partial 16S ribosomal RNA". It matches the Rfam family "Bacterial small subunit ribosomal RNA", at positions 524 to 777 of the family's 1533-position model. The record is from RNAcentral.